GUCUACAGCCAUGCCACCCUGAAUGUGCCUGAUCUCAUCUGAUCUCAGAAACUAAGAAGAGUCGAGCCUGGUUAGUACUUGGAUGGGAGAUCACCUAGGAAAACCAGGUGCUGCAGGCG
RNAcentral lists this ribosomal RNA (119 nucleotides) under Pteropus alecto (black flying fox). Lineage: Eukaryota; Metazoa; Chordata; Mammalia; Chiroptera; Pteropodidae. The record is from RNAcentral.